AUGCUCACUCCAGCAGCACAUACAUUAAAAUUGGCAGGAUGCAGAGAAGAUCUGCAUGGGCCCUGUUCGAGGAUGACAUGCAAAUGUGUGAAAUGUUCCAUGUGUUU
Perognathus longimembris pacificus (Pacific pocket mouse) is the source of this 107-nucleotide small nuclear RNA. NCBI's taxonomy places the organism in Eukaryota, Metazoa, Chordata, Mammalia, Rodentia, Heteromyidae. The record is from RefSeq and is a predicted model, not a curated record.